Molecule: ribosomal RNA, 253 nt
Filed under: uncultured bacterium
Lineage: Bacteria
Description: partial 16S ribosomal RNA
Rfam family: Bacterial small subunit ribosomal RNA
Source: RNAcentral
UACGUAGGGGGCUAGCGUUGUCCGGAAUCAUUGGGCGUAAAGAGCGUGUAGGCGGCUCGGUAAGUCCGCUGUAAAAGUCAAGGGCUCAACCUUUGAAUGUCAGUGGAUACUGCCGGGCUAGAGUCCGGAAGAGGCGAGUGGAACUCCUGGUGUAGCGGUGGAAUGCGCAGAUAUCAGGAGGAACACCAAUUGCGAAGGCAGCUCGCUGGGACGUUACUGACGCUGAGACGCGAAAGCGUGGGGAGCAAACAGG